This 762-nucleotide long non-coding RNA is filed under the name Citrus x clementina. RNAcentral's name for it is "Citrus clementina (C. clementina) long non-coding RNA (CCLE_LNC000324)". Lineage: Eukaryota; Viridiplantae; Streptophyta; Magnoliopsida; Sapindales; Rutaceae. The record is from RNAcentral.
UGAAAAUAGUAAUCAAUCCCUAGGCGUUGAACGACAUCAAUCAUGGCCAAUCCUUCAAAAGAAUCGUCAUCUCCUAGUUUGAUAAGUAUGUGCUUGAUUACCUCCAGUUUUUUCGCAUGCUUAAUGUGAAUGUCGUCAUACAUAAGAUAAGAGACAGAGCAUUAAACACUUUCCCAUAAGGUGCCUGACAAUUAUGAAAUAAGAAACAAGAAAUACUAUUUAACCACAUAGUUUAAUAGUUUUCCCGAACUUUAAUAAAGCUCAAGAUCCUAAAUCAGAUCAGCACUAUAUACGUUGUUUAUAUAUGUGGCUCACAUUAAAGUUAGUGGGGUGUUCACUGGGAUAAGUGAAAUGUUUCAACGGGGCAGAAACACCUAUGUUAUCAUUAAUGUUGCCCUUUUUAUUAUUAGGCAGCAAAGAAUUAAUGUUACUGAGGUUUGGGUUGCCAACUUUUGAUAUGUGUUUUGGAAUAACUUGAAUGUGGGAUGAAUCAGACGAAAUAUCUUUGGAAGAGAAAGCCAUGGAAAGUGUGUAUUCGUGGAAAUAGCUAAUCUUGACAGAGAAGAGAUAAUUGGUUCUAAUAAGUCGAGAAUAUGAAGAAUAAGUGAAGCAAUCUUUGGAAGAGAAAGCCAUGGAAAACAUGUACUUAUGGAAAUAGCUAAUCUUGACAGAGAAGAAAGAAUUGGUUCUAAUAGCUCGAGAAUAUGAAGAAUAAAUGAAGCAAUUAUAGAACACAUUUCCCGUCAAAAUAGAAUAGAUUUA